RNAcentral lists this long non-coding RNA (207 nucleotides) under Mytilus galloprovincialis (Mediterranean mussel). Lineage: Eukaryota; Metazoa; Mollusca; Bivalvia; Mytilida; Mytilidae. The record is from RNAcentral.
GAGAUUGUUUUUGGUGGUUCUGGUACAAACGGUUUAGAAAUUAAGGCAAAAAAAACGGACCAACAACAAGCAAUUUUGUAGUUUCUGAACAAUAACUUAUGUGUAAGCGUAUGGAUAUAUCUGAAAUUGUAUAACAAGGUUCCAUAUCUCAAUGGAAAGACUGGGUAUUAGUUUGGAGGUAAUUGCUCUCAGUGUUCAGGAAUUAGG